UUGCGACACGUUCCGGCCGCUUCUGGGCUGAGCCUAGAUCACGUGGCACAAACAUGUCUGCCCCCAAUUGGUUGUUGCCAUCUUUGAGGCUCGUACAAUGAGAAGGACGGCGCCAUGUUGAAUCCGCAAACCGCUGUCUCAGCCAUCGCCCCCUCUUCCCCCGCUCCCGCGUUCCCCCCGGAAUAAUGAAUGCCGCGGAAGGGAGGACGAGAGUAAACUGGCUCUUCCAGUAGUGUCCGUCUGCAGAAGGCACUGAUCAGUCAACUAAGUAGUCCUACUGUGUGCCCUGAGCUGUUCAGGAUCAAACAAAGCAUGCAUGCUCUAGGAACAGGCUUUUUCAGGGAGAGGUCUCUGAGUAAUGGGAGCUAAAAGAGUGGUUAUUUGACAGACUUACAUUGUGUUGAGGAAGGGUACCCAUAUUUAUUGAGCGCCCACCAUGCCUUUGUACUACACCUUUGGAUCAUCUCCAUUUGUCCUUAGUUUAAUCACUUAAGGAAAGAUUAUUUUCACCCUUUUGGGAACAGGGAACAGAGACCUGCUACAGGUGGGUUUGACCUAGCUCACACAGUAAGUAGUAGAGUGAGAUGUGAACCAAGGGAGGUUGGACGUUAAUGUGCAUGAUCUAGUCGACUGAAAAUGAUGUACCAAUUGUGUAACAGAGUGAUAGACAUUACCAGAACAUUUCUUCUGGUCCAAGAAAAUGGAAAACCAGUGUAACCCAACUAACAUGAGGUCACUCCUUAGUGAGUCACAGAUGUACCAGGUGGAGUUGUCUCACAAAGUAAACUUUAUUUGCAGCAAAUAAGGAGAUCGCUGGGAAUAACUUCCAAAUCCGUGGCUCACAGAGCAAAGGCAAAUGGAUUCCUUUUAUUUAGGGUUAGGAUGAAUAUUUAGAUAAGGGAGCCUUGUCAUCUUAUGUAGAGGCGAGCAAAAGGAGGUGCAUGUGCCUUAAGGAAACAUGCCUAUACAUACACUGUAUGUUAUGUAUAUGAGGCUUGUGCUCUUCCUUGGGUGGAGAUUUUACAGUUACGAUGAGGUAAAGGUAAGUCUUGGUCAGUCUGUGGGCCACUCCAUGGUCCAUCUGCAUAGGUGUGAGUAGGGGGUUAAGUUCAAGCUGGUCUGGGUGGUCUGGGCAGUUGUUAUUGCUUGAGGAGUAUUGUUUGUUUGUUUGUUUUUUAGAGAUUGUAUUUAUUUAUUUGACGGAGAGAGAGUGCACACAAGUUGGCAGAGUGGCAGGCAGAGGGAGGGGGAGAAACAGGGCUCCCAGCUGAGCAGACAGCCCGAUGCAGCUCUAUCCCAGGACCCUGAGGUCAUGACCUGGGCCGAACGCAGACGCUUAACUAACUGAGCCACCCAGGCACCCCGACUGAGGGGUAUUUUGGUUUCCAUCAGGGAACGUUAUGCCCCUCAGGUCUUUGCCUGAGUUAAAAGAUAAGCUAGAAAGAAGAGCCUAAGGAAAAAUGUGGGACAAAGGUCAAUGAGUACAAUAAGCAGGUAGGCAUAAAGGUCAGGCUUUGGAGUCCAGCUGGUGACAACAGCUCAAGACUCCCUGAGCUUACUGUCAAAGGUGAGGCAAUAAAGUUGUACACUGUAAAGCUCUUAAGAGGGUGGGACACCCUAUCAAAGACCCGCCCCAUCUAAACACAUUAAGAUCAACUCGGAACUUUAUCUCCAUCUUCAACAACAUGCUCUUCUCAUAGUCUUUUCCUGUCUUGGUUCAUGAAAACUUCAUUCUUUCAGUUGCACAUUCUAAAAAACUUUGGAAUCAUUCUGUCUCCUGUAGCGGGUUGAAUAGUGACCCGCAAAAAGAUAAGCCUACAUCCUGGACCCUGUGGAUGUGACCUGAUUUGGAAAAAGGGUAUUUGCAAAUAUAAUUAAGGAUCUUUUUUUUUUUUUUUAAGAUUUUAUUUAUUUAUUUGACAGAGAGACCGCGCAAGAGAGGGAACACAAGCAGGGGGAGUGGGAGAGGGAGAAGCAGGCUUCCCACAGAGCAGGGAGCCCAAUGUGUGGCUCGAUCCCAGAACCCUGGGAUCAUGACUUGAGCCGAAGGCAGACACUUAACGACUGAGCCACCCAGACACCCCUGUAAUUAAGGAUCUUGAGAUGAGAACAUCCUGGAUUAUCCACGUGGGUCCUACAUCCAAUGACAAGUGUCUUUAGAAGAUACACACAGUGUCAGAGAGUACAAACACACAGAGAAAAGAAGUCCCUGUGAAGAUGGAGUCAGAGAUUUGAAUGCAAGAGGAGUGAGAAAUGAGGGACCCGGGUUAGGCAGUUGCCUUCCAGCAACAGCUGUUUGCUAUAGAAGUGGAAGAAUAAACUGCAGUGGACAGCUUUCUGCCCCUGCCACAAAUACAGCACGAUAUAUACUACAUAAAGGAAGCAAAGGCGUGAAGAUGGCCCAGGAGAGACACCUGAUGUAGCCUACGAGACAGAGUGGUCAUGGGGCCCAGAGGAGGCAGUGCUGAGGUGACUAUUGAAGGGGACCAGGAAUUCAAAUGGAGCACAGCGUGCCUGAUUUAUCUCUACUCCAUGAUGUCUUGGACCUCAGCUUAAAGACACAAAGCUAGAUGCUAGAAUCAUCUGAAGUCUCGCCUGGGGCUAGAGAAUCCGUUUCCAACGUGGUUCACUCACAUGACGGGCAAACUGGUACUUGACAAAUUGGUUUCUUUCCACAUGGGCCAUUCCAUAGGGCUGUUUGAUUGUCCUUAUGACAUGGCAGCUGACUCCUUCCUGAGAAAACAACCCAAAGGACCAAGGUAGAAGCUGUAAUGUGUGAUAUGUCCAAGCUUCAGAAGUCAUACACCAUGACCUCUACAGAAUUCUACUAGCCAUACAGUUCAGCUUUGAUUCAGUGUGAGAGGAAACUACAGAAGGAAAUGAACACCAGGAGAGAGAGUGAGAGAGCACAAGCAGGGGAACAGCAGAGGGAGAGGGAGAAGCAGGCUCCCCGCCAAGCAGGGAGCCCAAUGCAGGACUCGAUCCCAGGACCCCAGGAUCAUGACCUGAGCCGAAGGCAGACGCUUAACCAUCUGAGCCACCCAGGCGCCCCGAUUUAAAAAUUUUUUAAUUUAUUUUUUAAAGGAAAACUUUCUAUCACCAUUAUGAGGUGAAAAUGAGUCUCUCUUAACAUGUAAAGAUAACUCUCAAAAUAAGCAUAAUUAAACGUUGUUGAGUUAUAACUAAGUAUUGUCUGCUGAAGACGUUGAGCAUGAAGCCUGCUGUUUGUU
Mirounga angustirostris (Northern elephant seal) is the source of this 3230-nucleotide long non-coding RNA. RefSeq lists it as uncharacterized. Lineage: Eukaryota; Metazoa; Chordata; Mammalia; Carnivora; Phocidae. The record is from RefSeq and is a predicted model, not a curated record. The transcript has 4 exons.